This 110-nucleotide microRNA precursor is filed under the name Paramuricea clavata. Lineage: Eukaryota; Metazoa; Cnidaria; Anthozoa; Malacalcyonacea; Plexauridae. The record is from RNAcentral.
UUUUUUUGCGCGGCCAAUUGCCCCCUGAUGAUCCCAUAAUACAUUGCAUUUGCAAAUAAUACAAUGUAUUAUGGGAUCGCCAGGGGGCAAUUGGCCGCGCAAAACAAAAG